Molecule: RNA transcript, 1286 nt
Organism: Durio zibethinus
Lineage: Eukaryota; Viridiplantae; Streptophyta; Magnoliopsida; Malvales; Malvaceae
Gene name: GCN5-related N-acetyltransferase 6, chloroplastic
Source: RefSeq, a predicted model, not a curated record
UCCUCCGAACAUUGCUGCCAGAUACACCUAUAUAUAAUAUUAAAUAAUUCAUUAGAGUUUUUUUGUUUGGGAUUUUCUUGAUCUUUAUCCUCUUUCAGAUAAGAAAAGGAUAAGAAAAGAAAGCCAAAAAUUUGGAUAAAGUUUUCCCGGAUAAACUAUUUCCUGUAUCCGGGAAAACUUAGUUGCCAUGUCAACCAUUUCGAUUUACAGAGCUGAAUUCUUAACUUUUUCUAGCCAUGGAUCGAGGCCCCGCCUCAAAUUUCAAAGAACUUCCCUUUCUCCAACUAUGAAAAUGGAUUCGAAAUCAAUGGAAAGGGUGAAAAAGGAAGAACUUUCGAUACAGCUUCAAACGCCGUCAAUACCUCAGCUGGAAAACUCAAGACCGUCUAAUCUUAGGUUUGACCGGCUGCAACCGUCGGAUCAGGAGCUGAAUCAAGAUAACAGAUUAGAAUUUGGAAAAUUCGUGGCAAGAGAGGCCGUCCUUGAUGAAGAAUUCUGGACAGCGGCAUGGCUGAGAGCAGAAAGCCACUGGGAGGAUCGACUGGGUGAAAGAUAUGUUGAUAACUUUAAAAGGAAAUUUGCUGAGCAGGAGUUCAAUGCCAUAAAAGGGCGAUACAAGGGGCAACAAGGACAGACAUAUGCAUGUGUUGUCACGGUUAAGAAAGAGGAGAGGAGUGUCAAACGCACAGUGUUGAAAAGUGUAGUUGGAACCCUUGAUUUCAGCAUUAGGCAUUUGUUGCAUGGAGAGUCUUUUCCAGGGGAACGUGAAAAGCAUCUCUUCUGCAGCAUCAACAGAACACAUAUGAAUAAAUAUAUUUAUGUUUCCAACUUAUGUGUAGCCAAAUCAGCCCGUCGACAAGGCAUUGCUAGAAAUAUGUUGAAUUUUGCUUUUGAAUCAGCCAGAUCAAGUGUUAUUCGGUUGCAGGUGUUGAACUGGUAUAUGUGCAUGUGAAUAGAAACAAUGGACCUGCACUCGAACUGUACCAAAAUAUUGGUUUUGAGAUGGUUGAAAUUGCAAGUUCUCAGUUGUCAAAACAGCAGAUGUACUUACUUUGUUAUAAGACUUAAAGCUCUGUUGAACACAAAAUUCAGGAUAUCUUUUUUUUUUUUCUCUUUUUGAAUGAAAAAAAAAAACCCAUACAUAUAGCUUGUGAACUCGGGGCUUAGGAAUGACUGAGGAUGGGGAAGGAUUAACCCAAAAAUGUAAUUUCCUGACAUUACUACUCAGGGGACAUAUGUAUGUAUUAUUUCCAUAAUCAGAAAUUGUAAAUGCUAUGAAUUUCUUA